Molecule: ribosomal RNA, 444 nt
Filed under: uncultured bacterium
Lineage: Bacteria
Description: bacterial SSU rRNA
Rfam family: Bacterial small subunit ribosomal RNA
Source: RNAcentral
AUUGAACGCUGGCGGCAUGCCUUACACAUGCAAGUCGAACGGCAGCACGGGAGCAAUCCUGGUGGCGAGUGGCGAACGGGUGAGUAAUAUAUCGGAACGUGCCCAGUCGUGGGGAUAACGUAGCGAAAGCUACGCUAAUACCGCAUACGAUCUAUGGAUGAAAGCGGGGGAUCGCAAGACCUCGCGCGAUUGGAGCGGCCGAUAUCAGAUUAGGUAGUUGGUGAGGUAAAGACUCACCAAGCCGACGAUCUGUAGCUGGUCUGAGAGGACGACCAGCCACACUGGGACUGAGACACGGCCCAGACUCCUACGGGAGGCAGCAGUGGGGAAUUUUGGACAAUGGACGCAAGUCUGAUCCAGCCAUUCCGCGUGCAGGAUGAAGGCCUGGUUGUAACUAGCGUUUGUUACGGUAACGAAACCGGUAGAGGCUCUAAUACAAGUUUG